Ipomoea nil (Japanese morning glory) is the source of this 343-nucleotide long non-coding RNA. RefSeq lists it as uncharacterized. Lineage: Eukaryota; Viridiplantae; Streptophyta; Magnoliopsida; Solanales; Convolvulaceae. The record is from RefSeq and is a predicted model, not a curated record. The transcript has 4 exons.
GUAACUUAGUUACAAAUGUUUUCCAGGGACCCAACAAACAAAUACUUUGUCAACUGUCAAUGCUUGAAAGAAAAAUGGCUCAAGGUAUCUGGCCACAGCAUCUUCUGAUCAUACUGUCAAGAUAUGGAAUGUGGAUGGAUUUACCUUGGAGAAAACUCUCAUAGCUUCUUCCGACACAACAGCGAGAUUAUGGUCCAUGUCUACUGGCAAAGAUAUCAAAGUAUACCAGGGACAUCACAAGGCAGCUGUGUGUUGCGCUCUCCAUGACGGGCCCGAACCCUCUACCCGAUUCUGCAGUAAGCUAGCUAGCUAGCUCAUCCAUCAAUUAUAGAUCAUUUGGUAA